This 1477-nucleotide ribosomal RNA is filed under the name Olea europaea subsp. europaea. Its description in RNAcentral is "Eukaryotic large subunit ribosomal RNA". It matches the Rfam family "Eukaryotic large subunit ribosomal RNA", at positions 1975 to 3401 of the family's 3401-position model. The record is from Rfam by way of RNAcentral. Lineage: Eukaryota; Viridiplantae; Streptophyta; Magnoliopsida; Lamiales; Oleaceae.
UAGAGAAAGGAGAAGUCGUAACAAGGUUUUCAUAGGUGAAUCUAUGGAAGGAUCAUUGUCGAAACCUAUAAAGCAGACCCACAAACUCAUUCCAUAACACACGUGGGAGGACGACGGUUAUUCGUGUGUCGAUCAGGAGACGAACUGGGAACGGCUACUUCGAGGACCUUUCUUAGGUGUCAACCAGUCGACUCAGAACUAGUAUGGACAAGGAAAAUUCAACUGUUUAAUUAAAACAAAGCAUUGCAAUGGUUCCCGUGAAUGCUCACGCAAUGUGAUUUUUGCCCAGUGCUCUGAAUGUUAAAGUGAAGAAAUUCAACCAAGCGCAGGUAAACGACUGGAGUAACUAUGACUCUCUUAAGGUAGCCAAAUGCCUCAUCAUCUAAUUAGUGAUGCACAUAACUGGAUUAAAAAGAUUCCCACUAUCCCUAUCUACUAUCUAGUGAAACCACAGCCAAGGGAACGAGCUUGGCAGAAUCAGCAUGGAAAGAAGACCCUAUUGAGCUUAACUCUAGUCCGACUUUGUGAAAUGACUUCAGAGGUGUAGGAUAAGUGGGAGCCAAAAGGCGAAAGUAAAAUACUACCUCUUUUAACAGUAUUUUACUUAUUUCGUAAAUCGGAGACGGGGCACUACCCCUCUUUUUAGACCCAAGGCUCACUUCGCGGGCUGAUCCGAGCUAAAGACAUUGUCGAUGAGGAGUUUCGCUGAGAUGGCACAUCUGUUAAAAGAUAAUGCAGGUGUCCUAAGAUGAGCUCAACAAGAACAAAAAUUUCGUGUGGAACAGAAGAGUAAAAGCUCGUUUGAUUCUGAUUUAUAGUGCAAAUACGAACCUUGAAAGCGUGGCCUAACGAUCCUUCAGACCUUUGAAAUUUGAAGCUAGAGGUGUCAAAAAAGUUACCACAGGGAUAACUAGUUUGUGGCAGCCAAGCGUUCAUAACAACGUUGCUUUUUUAUACUUCGAUGUCGACUCUUCCUAUCAUUGUAAAGCAAAUUCACGAAGUGUCGGAUUUUUCACCCACCAAUAGGAAAUGUGAGCUGGAUUAUGACUAAAUGUCGACAGGCUAGUUUUAUCCUAUUGAUGAUAGUGUCAUCGUAGUAAUUCAACCUAGUACGAGAGAAACCAUUGAUUCACACAAUUUGUCAUCGCGCUAGGUUGAAAAGCCAGUGGCGUGAAGCUACCAUGCGUUGGAUUAUGACUGAAUGACUCUAAGUUGGAAUUUGGGCUAGAAGUGAUGCGUGCAUCCGCCAUUCACUUGCUGACCCGCGGUAGGGGCCUCACGGCCCCAGGGGCACAUGUCGUUGGCAAAGCCCUUACAGCGGACGUGCUGCGUCGGCCGCCUUGAAGUACAAUCUCCAUCGAGCUGUGGGCAGAAUCCUUUGCAGACGACUUAAAUAUGUGACGGGGUAUUGUAAGCGACAGAGUGCCCUUGCUACCCAGAAUUGCCUGAAAAUGAGGUUGCGUCCUCGUCGUGGCCC